GUGGAUAAGGACCUGAAACUAAUAAAAUCAAUAAAAGAAGUCUUCCCUCAAUCAAGCAUUCUGCUCUGCUGGUUCCAUGUAACACAGGCAGUUCAGAGAUGGAUAACGAAGAAAGAUUCAGAGAGAAGUGGGCCAAGUUUGAAGGAGGAGCGGAAUAAAGAAAUGGCCUUAAUGUUUCAGUUGAUGCACUGCACAACAGAGUCAGUUUCAGGAGGUUUUUUCAUCUCACUGCAAGAAUGUCCACCCUAAGGCAGCCAAUUACAUUAAAGAAAAUUGGAUUACAUGUGGUCAGAUGUGGUCGUCCUUUGGAAGGCAGUUCUUCCAUGAGGACAGUGAAACAAAUAAUUUAGCUGAACGAUACCUUGAUGGGCUACAAGAAGCUGGACGUUUGACCAACCCAAGGGCAGAGAAGGAGUCAACAGGUCUUAGGGCAGCUGAGGAACUUCUUCAAAAGGGCUGGAUAGAGCGAUGUCACUGGAUGGAUGACUACAGAUGCCUUGUACCGUCAACCAGCAGAGAAAACUGGUGGUACACUGUGGUUCUUCCAGAGUACACUUGUGAAUGUGUUGCAGCUUCUAAUGGAGGUCUUUGCAAACACCUCCACAUUGCUUUGGAAGCUGCAAAACAAAAGGGUCUUGACGUGGACUCUAUGCAGAAGAGACUUGUUCAGGAGCUGCUUCAGUGGGGAAAGACUUCCCAGUGCAAAGACAUGGUCUUAGUUGAGAGGUUUUUUUUUCAAAUGUGUUUAGCUGCAUUGAUGUUAAGUACAAGAAAUGUUCCUGCAUUGCAGCUAGCCAUGGGAGAUUGUGCAUCUGUACUCAAGUUUUUAAUAGAAUCUUUGCAGACACUGAUGUACAGGACCUAGAAGAGCAGACCCCACAUGACCUUGUAGAAGCUUGCCAGAGCAAUGCCACACAGCAAAUUAUUGAAAGACUUUACUUAUGGUCCAAAGGUACAGACUUUCAUGAAACAGCAGAAUUAAAACAAACCUUGGAAAAAGCACAACAAAUUGCUUUUGGAAAUUUUGAGUCAAAAUAUAGUCAGAGAAGGAUCCAUGUAUUGCACCCAUGGAGAAAAAACAAGCAACAUCGAUUUGCAAUGAAAUAUCACAAUUAUUCAAAGUCCAAAAAUACCAAA
Acipenser ruthenus (sterlet) is the source of this 1137-nucleotide long non-coding RNA. RefSeq lists it as uncharacterized. The record is from RefSeq and is a predicted model, not a curated record. Lineage: Eukaryota; Metazoa; Chordata; Actinopteri; Acipenseriformes; Acipenseridae. The transcript has 5 exons.